RNAcentral lists this non-coding RNA (22 nucleotides) under Arabidopsis thaliana (thale cress). The record is from RNAcentral. Lineage: Eukaryota; Viridiplantae; Streptophyta; Magnoliopsida; Brassicales; Brassicaceae.
UGGCUACUUCUUGAUCCAUUGC